Molecule: transfer RNA, 70 nt
Filed under: uncultured Brevibacterium sp.
Lineage: Bacteria; Bacillati; Actinomycetota; Actinomycetes; Micrococcales; Brevibacteriaceae
Rfam family: tRNA
About the family: Transfer RNA (tRNA) molecules are approximately 80 nucleotides in length.
Source: RNAcentral
CGGAUGUGGCUCAGCUGGUAGAGCAUCACCUUGCCAAGGUGAGGGUCGCGGGUUCGAGUCCCGUCAUCCG